GCGCCAAUAGCUCAACUGGAUAGAGUACGAGACUUCGAAUCUUGGGGUUGCGGGUUCAAAUCCUGCUUGGCGCGCCA
Molecule: transfer RNA, 77 nt
Filed under: Tenericutes bacterium ADurb.BinA155
Lineage: Bacteria; Bacillati; Mycoplasmatota
Description: tRNA-Arg
Rfam family: tRNA
About the family: Transfer RNA (tRNA) molecules are approximately 80 nucleotides in length.
Source: RNAcentral